Molecule: long non-coding RNA, 3297 nt
Organism: Trifolium pratense (red clover)
Lineage: Eukaryota; Viridiplantae; Streptophyta; Magnoliopsida; Fabales; Fabaceae
Exons: 4
Source: RefSeq, a predicted model, not a curated record
AUUGUGGUUACAAAUCAUAGUCAUCGUACGGUCAAUACUGAGAUUUAACUUUCUUCAGCUUUGAAUCAUGGCCGCGCGUAUAAGAUGAAUGCUUUGAAUUUCUUGGUUUUGGGAAAAGCACUCCCCCGUCUUAACUCUCCCAACGUCCCUCUUAAUUCUCCGGUCAAAUCCCCAAUCCCCCAACCCCCCAUCUUGGAAGAUGAGUAUUCAUAAAAGGGGAAGAAAACGUUCUUCAGCCCUUCCGCUCUCUUCUUCAACCUCCGCUCACCCGGAUUCAAAAAAGAGGAAGUGCAAAUUGCAACCUAUUUCAUCUUCCCAUUCGUGGUCUUCGUGUUCUCCCGCAAUGAAUCAGGUUUUCGAACAACCGGGAUGGAAUUCCAAUCUGGACAAGCAACUUCUUGAUUUGACAGUUGAUGCCCAUAAAGUAGAAGGAUACUUCUUGAGCUGGUUUGAUUAUAAUCCGAAGCCACCAUUGAAGUACAUUAAAGGAUGGGAAUUACUUGCACGUCAAUUCAACCAACGAAUGGAUCCCCAUUGUCAGUUUUUGGAUAAGUGGAAACUUGCUACAGAAUUGAGCUGCAGACUUGAAUUUUUUUAAAAAAAAGUUGAGAAGGAUAAAAUCAACCUGGCGGGAUAUGAAUUUGAGGAACAAUUGACGACUUUGUUUAAGGGGAGGAAUAAGCUGUCUAUACCUGCUGGUAUGACUGAGAGUGUGAAUGAUAUCCAAGGUUCUAGUGGGCAGUAUCCAGGAAUCUUCUCUAGUUCUAGUGGGUGGUAUCCCAGAGCGACCCUUACUACUCCUUCUAGUGCUGCCACGACAUCACGUUGCAGUCCGACCUUUGGUAUUGUUAAUCCCUAUGAAGAUUGUGUCUAUUGUUUGUCAAAAUUGGGAUUAAACGAUGAAUCCAUCACUCUCAUUCUUGAUUAUAGUAUUAAGGGAGAGUUGCAAGGCUUGAAGAAUGCUGAAGCCAAGUAUGUAUAUGCCUUAGAAUUGAAAGGUACUGUUUCUUAUUAUUCUAAAUAUGAUGACAAUGUGGAUCAAGAUGAAGGGCGGAAUGUGAGGCCUCGGAAACAUCGUGGCGCAGCGACUCCUCCAUCAGUUAUUUUACAUGGCCCAAGAGCAAACCAGGGGGUAAACAGAUAUAGGUAAGUUUAAUUUCCUAGUUUUGUGUGUUGCGUUGUGAUGUUUUGAUUUGCACAAGAGGAAAUAUAAUGAUAAUAUAUAAUGAUAGAAUAAUGAUCACGGAGUAUGAUAAUUAGUCUAUUACUACAAUUUAUAAGUAGUAUAGGGAAAGCAUGAUGACAAUAGCUAUUUUGAAUUAGAGCUCUCUCUUCUGCACUCAAUCGGCAACUCAAAUUAAAAAUGCAAAAAUUACUAUUUACAGAUAAUAGAACAAACCAGAUAUGAUUUACCCUAGUCUGUCUAGCAUUAGAAUGGAAAAAGAAAAAAAUAAUAAUGGAAUUUUUUGGGAUGCCAAAUGUGUGGAAUUUUUUUUAUUUUUCUUGAGAAUGAUAAUAACAUUGAAUGUCAGGCAAAAUAUCUCAAUGUUUAGAUUGAGAAAUCGCACAAACCUCCAUCAGACUUAAGCAAUCAGUGACCUUCACUUUUUUGUGCUUCAGACAGAUUGCACGGCUCAUGCCUGAUAGUUCCCAUAAUGAAUUAGAUGCACCUCCAAGCACGUUCCCGACAAUUACUGGCUCCCCUUUUCUCCAGUGCCAUUGAAAAUGUAGUAAAUCCUCAGGAUGUACAUUUUUAGCCUUUGGGCAAUAUAUAUCGUUGUCGCUUGACUCUUCACGAGAUGCUGCCUUACGAUUCAAACAUGAAUGCAAGUUCUUAUGAGUUUUGUCUGCAAUCAUGUAAUGCUUGUAUUUGUCUACAAUUUUUUCUGCUUCAUCUACCAAAUCAGCAAUGUGACUUGGAGGAUAGAAGCUUUUCAGUUCAAGAAACCCAUCACAGCAAACUCUGUCAUCACUAUCCUCAUGCCUAUCAGAUCUUGGGUGUUUGUGAACCCCAGGCUUGGCAGUAACACAUGACUCAAUUGGAUCAGCACCAUCUCGAAGCUGUGCAUCACAAAAGUCAUGACAACAGGCGAUACAAAAGUCACAUUCGCAUGUCUGACAGUGUUUGUGGAGGGCAAAUAUUGACGUCUUGCAGUUGUCACUACAAAAGAAGGGUUAAAUAAACAACUAUAAAACAUGAGGAUAACUACAAGACAACAAUAGAUUAAAUAAUUCCCAACCAGUACAACCGCUCUCCAUCCAAGUCAUCUAGCUUUGAUAUACUUAGCUCCGAGAGUGAGAGCCCUGUAACGUACAUCCCAAAAUCAGGUUAAAAACUGAAUAUAUAUGGGAUGAAAUUAAUAAUGCUUAGAAAUUAGCAUUAACUAGGGCAUAAGAUUAGAGACAAACUAGAGCUAUAAUCCAACAACAAAACAUUACAAUAAAAAUAGUAAAAAGCAGGAUAUCAAAUAGGUAAGUAAUCCAAAGGCACACAGUCAUAGGGUUCAAAAGUCAAAGUUUAUCAAAGCUUAUAAAACAGACAAUUCUACUGGUAGGUGGUUAUAACCCGAUCAAAUUUAGCUCAAUAUCAGCAUCAUUUUCGGUUGCCUUCACCCGACAACCUAAGCUUUGGGGAUAGGUGGUUAUAGACAUGGUAUCAGAGCCUCUUUGACUAAGUGGUCUAGAGUUUGAUACUGGUCACCCCCAUACUUCUAAUAAAAUUUGAUUGAAUUUCAGCACAAGGUAGGUGGCCUGUGCAGAAGCCACUACAUUUAUUCACGAAACAACAUAGAUCCAUACAUGAAAAUAUACCUUGGUUGCUAGCCUUUAUCUCAAUUUCAGUCAUUUCUUUCUGACUCAAUUGUUUUAAAUAUGGAAGAAGUUCUUUAAGCAGAUAUAGGGAGAGCUCAUCGUCAACCUUCAUUGGUUUUUGCAUCUUCAUUGUUAUCUCCUGCAUCUUCAAUACAACCACUCAUGGUGACAUAAUAGUAAUGAAACGCAUCGUUUUAAAGAUAAAAAAAGAAAGAAAAGGGUGAUUAAAUAUUAAAUAUUAUGAUAAUAAAAAAAAGGAUUAGCGAGGUAAAGGAAAAAAUUAUACCCUCCUCAUGAGCAACUUCACUUUCUUUUGAACUCCAUACACUUUUUCUUUUCCUUCCACAAUGCUUCUCUUGAUUGUCCACGACUGCCAUAUAAUGGAUGUAAGCACAAUGUAGUAUAAACUGAAGUAAAUUGCAGUUUCUCACGAGUUCCUUUAAAACCUUAGGUUACUGGUGUAUAGAAAAGAAUAUUACCAUCAUC